GGUGUCGUGGUGUAGUUGGUUAGCACAUCAGUUUAACAUGCUGAAGAUCCCCGGUUCAAAUCCGGUCGACAUCA
Triticum urartu is the source of this 74-nucleotide non-coding RNA. Lineage: Eukaryota; Viridiplantae; Streptophyta; Magnoliopsida; Poales; Poaceae. The record is from Rfam.